CGUAGGUAACCUGCCUCUUAGCGGGGGAUAACUAUUGGAAACGAUAGCUAAUACCGCAUAAAAGUCGACAUUGCAUGAUGUUGACUUGAAAGGUGCAACUGCAUCACUAAGAGAUGGACCUGCGUUGUAUUAGCUAGUUGGUGAGGUAACGGCUCACCAAGGCGACGAUACAUAGCCGACCUGAGAGGGUGAUCGGCCACACUGGGACUGAGACACGGCCCAG
RNAcentral lists this ribosomal RNA (223 nucleotides) under uncultured Streptococcaceae bacterium. Its description in RNAcentral is "partial 16S ribosomal RNA". It matches the Rfam family "Bacterial small subunit ribosomal RNA", at positions 116 to 334 of the family's 1533-position model. Lineage: Bacteria; Bacillati; Bacillota; Bacilli; Lactobacillales; Streptococcaceae. The record is from RNAcentral.